UACGUAGGGCGCAAGCGUUGUCCGGAAUUAUUGGGCGUAAAGAGCUCGUAGGCGGUCUGUCGCGUCUGCCGUGAAAACCCGAGGCUUAACCUCGUGGCUUGCGGUGGAUACGGGCAGACUAGAGGUAGGUAGGGGAGAAUGGAAUUCCCGGUGUAGCGGUGAAAUGCGCAGAUAUCGGGAGGAACACCGGUGGCGAAGGCGGUUCUCUGGGCCUUACCUGACGCUGAGGUGCGAAAGCGUGGGGAGCAAACAGG
RNAcentral lists this ribosomal RNA (254 nucleotides) under uncultured bacterium. RNAcentral's name for it is "partial 16S ribosomal RNA". It matches the Rfam family "Bacterial small subunit ribosomal RNA", at positions 524 to 776 of the family's 1533-position model. The record is from RNAcentral.